GACGAACGCUGGCGGCGUGCUUAACACAUGCAAGUCGAACGGAAAGGCCCUGCUUUUGCGGGGUGCUCGAGUGGCGAACGGGUGAGUAACACGUGAGUAACCUGCCCUUGACUUUGGGAUAACUUCAGGAAACUGGGGCUAAUACCGGAUAGGAGCUCCUGCUGCAUGGUGGGGGUUGGAAAGUUUCGGCGGUUGGGGAUGGACUCGCGGCUUAUCAGCUUGUUGGUGGGGUAGUGGCUUACCAAGGCUUUGACGGGUAGCCGGCCUGAGAGGGUGACCGGCCACAUUGGGACUGAGAUACGGCCCAGACUCCUACGGGAGGCAGCAGUGGGGAAUAUUGCACAAUGGGCGGAAGCCUGAUGCAGCAACGCCGCGUGCGGGAUGACGGCCUUCGGGUUGUAAACCGCUUUCGCCUGUGACGAAGCGUGAGUGACGGUAAUGGGUAAAGAAGCACCGGCUAACUACGUGCCAGCAGCCGCGGUGAUACGUAGGGUGCGAGCGUUGUCCGGAUUUAUUGGGCGUAAAGGGCUCGUAGGUGGUUGAUCGCGUCGGAAGUGUAAUCUUGGGGCUUAACCCUGAGCGUGCUUUCGAUACGGGUUGACUUGAGGAAGGUAGGGGAGAAUGGAAUUCCUGGUGGAGCGGUGGAAUGCGCAGAUAUCAGGAGGAACACCAGUGGCGAAGGCGGUUCUCUGGGCCUUUCCUGACGCUGAGGAGCGAAAGCGUGGGGAGCGAACAGGCUUAGAUACCCUGGUAGUCCACGCUGUAAACGGUGGGUACUAGGUGUGGGGUCCAUUCCACGGGUUCCGUGCCGUAGCUAACGCUUUAAGUACCCCGCCUGGGGAGUACGGCCGCAAGGCUAAAACUCAAAGGAAUUGACGGGGCCCCGCACAAGCGGCGGAGCAUGCGGAUUAAUUCGAUGCAACGCGUAGAACCUUACCUGGGUUUGACAUGGAUCGGGAGUGCUCAGAGAUGGGUGUGCCUCUUUUGGGGUCGGUUCACAGGUGGUGCAUGCCUGUCGUCAGCUCGUGUCGUGAGAUGUUGGGUUAAGUCCCGCAACGAGCGCAACCCUUGUUCACUGUUGCCAGCACGUUAUGGUGGGGACUCAGUGGAGACCGCCGGGGUCAACUCGGAGGAAGGUGGGGAUGACGUCAAGUCCUCAUGCCCCUUAUGUCCAGGGCUUCACGCAUGCUACAAUGGCUGGUACAGAGAGUGGCGAGCCUGUGAGGGUGAGCGAAUCUCGGAAAGCCGGUCUCAGUUCGGAUUGGGGUCUGCAACUCGACCUCAUGAAGUCGGAGUCGCUAGUGAUCGCAGAUCAGCAACGCUGCGGUGAAUACGUUCCCGGGGCU
Molecule: ribosomal RNA, 1346 nt
Filed under: uncultured bacterium
Lineage: Bacteria
Description: bacterial SSU rRNA
Rfam family: Bacterial small subunit ribosomal RNA
Source: RNAcentral